Molecule: long non-coding RNA, 2090 nt
Filed under: Pan troglodytes (chimpanzee)
Lineage: Eukaryota; Metazoa; Chordata; Mammalia; Primates; Hominidae
Description: long non-coding RNA NONPTRT001809
Source: RNAcentral
UAAAAGUCCUUUUAAUACAGCAUGAAGAGGCUAUAUUUCUAUAGGCGAGCUGUAUACAGAUUCUCCAGGAAUAAGGCACACAACGGAAUGCCAUCCCAAGGGCUGCACUUCGGAGACGUCGGAGCCUUCUCCACGCACCUUCCGAGCUGGGCCCACGGGUUCUGUUUUGUCUUUUUAGCUGGACUCACACGUAUGGACAGACACAGACACGGACGGGGUCACCGCAUGGGGGCGGAGGAGGUCGGACAGCAAGGUUGGCAACAGAGAAGGAUAAGCCCGCUGCCACAGCCCCCAGGGGACCGCUUGGCCAUCUCGCUGAAGGCUGGAACACCCCCAUUUCAGGAGGCAUAAUGUAGGGGCAAAAUCAAGAGACCCAGUUCUGACAGCCGGGAGAAAGGAAGGGUCAAGACCAUGGAAACGGGGCUUCUCAUCCGGGAGACAGAGGAGCGCACGAUCCCGCCGCCAGCCAGGACAGUGGGCUCCCUGGCCAGGGACGUGCCACGAGGCCUCUCUGCUCCCUUGGGAGGUAGGAAAUUAUUGUCUCCAUUUUAGAAAAGAGGGGUUCUGUGGCUUGUCUCAGGGUUCUCCAUGUCAGGGGCUAGGAGACCAAGGUGAGAAGGAGGGGGCUCCUCCAUGUUUGCAGGGGUGGGGGAUGAAAAGCAAGGCUGGGGCUGCAGGGGCCAGCAGGGGAGGACUCAGCAUCCCUCAGCUUGACUUCCUAAGACACCAAGUGAAGGGUCACGAUGCGGGGUACCUGGCCCCUGGGAGGUUUCUCCCACCAUUCUGGGUGAAACUCCCCAAAUAAAGCUCCAGCACACAGCACCGGCCAGCCUGAAUCCCAGAACAACAGAGCUGAAAUGGGCCCUCUGCUCUCUAGUGUUAUGCUGUCAUUUAACUAAUGGGGAAACUGAGGCCUGGAGAUGCGAAGUCCUUGCCCAAGGUGACACAAUGCGUCGGCAGCAGGGCAAAGACUUGAGCCGAGGUCUCCAGAACACCAGGCUUGUGUCCUUUCUGCUAGAACAGACACGCUGGGCUUCCACACUGGGCCCAGCUAUCUUGAUGUGGACCCCCAGAGUGGGUGGGAGGCAGAGGGGAAGGAAAGGGAGUGGGGCUGACAAAACCUAAGGCAGUCUGGUGGGGGUUGUGGGAGGGGCUGCCCCACGUUCCCCAGGACGCAUCUGUCCAGCAUUCUGUGCCUCCCCUAUGCCUAACCCCUCCUAUCUGGGUCCAUAGGGUGGGGAGGGGGACACACCCAGGUGCAAUGCCAGUGAUGUCAGAGGGGGUCCGGAUUUGGGGCUUAAGGUGGGCAAGGGACAGAGAGGUCCACUCCCCAGCAGCUGUUGGAACACAUGUCCCCUUGCCAUGAUUGCUGACUCAGGAAAGAGGGAUUUCCGAGAGUGGCUUUCCAUACAGGGCAAACCGGAAGGUUCUGGGUGGGGGCAGGCGGCCUGUCUGGUCUGGGGAGGUUUGGGAUUCACAGUAAAUUUAGUGCACCUGUGGCCAAUACAAGGCUGCUCACCCCAAAGAGGCUCUCAGAGGAGAGCCUGUGGGGACACCCAGGGCUCCUGGACAUGGGCUUUUGCUUGCCUUUGUCCCCUCCACUGAGACCCCAGGCCUGCCUGCAAAAAGCCCCAGACUCCCUGCUUUCCCUGGCCUGUUGGGGGCAGCAAUGUCAGUAACACUGUUUGUCAACACACACAAGACAAGGACGCUAAGAGCCCCCGGCCCAGCCCCGCAGGCCUGCGAGGGCACCCCAUGCACAGGGCGACACGCAGCCCAUCGGAGUAGCACAGGGAAGCAGCGUCUCCUCGGGCUGGCGGGGGGUGGCUCUGGGUGCGGGCGGGCAGCCCGUCACUGCACACGACGGCAGUAGUAGCCCAGGACCUUGCACUUCUCGCAGAGGUGCUGCGGGUGCUCCUUGCUCUGGUCGGACACGUCCAGGCCAUCGGGCUUCUCCAGGGGUCUCUGCAGAGAGAAGGAGGAAGGGGCCCAGGGGAGUGAGGGGAGAGAAAGACAGAAACACAGAGACAGACAGGGAGAGACACACAGAGACAGACAGGUGAGACAGGUACACGGGGAGGGGACCAGAC